This 725-nucleotide ribosomal RNA is filed under the name bacterium xpnta553lb10onp9.24. RNAcentral's name for it is "bacterial SSU rRNA". It matches the Rfam family "Bacterial small subunit ribosomal RNA", at positions 51 to 790 of the family's 1533-position model. The record is from RNAcentral.
ACACAUGCAGUCGAACGAUGAAGCCCAGCUUGCUGGGUGGAUUAGUGGCGAACGGGUGAGUAACACGUGAGUAACCUGCCCUUGACUCUGGGAUAAGCCUGGGAAACUGGGUCUAAUACUGGAUAUGACUUCUCACCGCAUGGUGGGGGGUGGAAAGAUUUAUUGGUCUUGGAUGGACUCGCGGCCUAUCAGCUUGUUGGUGAGGUAAUGGCUCACCAAGGCGACGACGGGUAGCCGGCCUGAGAGGGUGACCGGCCACACUGGGACUGAGACACGGCCCAGACUCCUACGGGAGGCAGCAGUGGGGAAUAUUGCACAAUGGGCGCAAGCCUGAUGCAGCGACGCCGCGUGAGGGAUGACGGCCUUCGGGUUGUAAACCUCUUUCAGUAGGGAAGAAGCGAAAGUGACGGUACCUGCAGAAGAAGCGCCGGCUAACUACGUGCCAGCAGCCGCGGUAAUACGUAGGGCGCGAGCGUUAUCCGGAAUUAUUGGGCGUAAAGAGCUCGUAGGCGGUUUGUCGCGUCUGCCGUGAAAGUCCGGGGCUUAACCCCGGAUCUGCGGUGGGUACGGGCAGACUAGAGUGCAGUAGGGGAGACUGGAAUUCCUGGUGUAGCGGUGAAAUGCGCAGAUAUCAGGAGGAACACCGAUGGCGAAGGCAGGUCUCUGGGCUGUAACUGACGCUGAGGAGCGAAAGCAUGGGGAGCGAACAGGAUUAGAUACCCUGG